Molecule: long non-coding RNA, 2734 nt
Organism: Bos indicus x Bos taurus (hybrid cattle)
Lineage: Eukaryota; Metazoa; Chordata; Mammalia; Artiodactyla; Bovidae
Source: Ensembl
GGGGGGAGUUGGCCUAAUGCCCCUGUGGGCUCGGCCUGCCGCCGCCGCGGGGGCCUCUGACACUGCGCGCCAGGCCAGGUUCCGGAAGACAGUCUGCGCGGGCGGGGAGCGCGGGCCCGGGAGGCCCUCGCGCGCCAGGCUGCCCGCAGCAGGGGGCUCGCACGCAGCCUUCCUCCGCCACCCUCCGGGAGCUGGGGUGCGGGCUAGGACGAGGUGGGGGGCGGAGGCGCCGAGCGCAGGACGGCGCAGGAGCCGGGCGCGACGUCGCACGCGGGGAGCCAGGAAUCAGCCCACCAGGAUGCCAUCCUCCUGAGGACUUGUGGGAAAUGAGCGAAACAGAAGAACCACAGAGCCAAGCUCAGGUGCAUGUUAUGAGCUUUCCAUCUGGCUCGGAGACAAGGCUGAGGGCAUCCCUGCCAUCAGGUGACACAGCCCCAAGUGCCUGAUGGGGUACACGGUCCAGGGCAUCCAGGCAGGGAGCAGGGUGGGGAUGUCCACCUGGUACUCCAGGAGGGGCUCCUGCCCCCUGCCUCUGCCUGCCAGCCCAGACCAACCCCCAUCCCAGGGGGUGUACCACCUCAUCUGCAGUGAAAACUCAGGUGCAGGCUCCCUGGGCAGGGCAGGGCAGCUCAGCGAUUUACAUGACAACUAAUAUUAGAUCUUUUCCGAAAGCUUAGUUUAAUGAGAGGAGAGAGAAGUCAGUGUGUGGGUUUUUGAACCUGGGAAGUGUGUUAAGAACUUUGGAGGGACAAAGAAAAAGGCCCUGGGCAGGGACAGAGUGAGUUAGUAAAUUGUGAUAGUCUUGCAACUGGCCAAACAGAGAAUUCCAACAACAAUAAUAGUUAACAUUUGAGGGUUUACCGUGCGCUGGCGACACGCAGUGGCUCAUCUGACAACUUUGUUAGAACCUCUGGGACAGCUGUGCUGAGUGGGCUCCAUGACCAGCCUUCUUAUAAAUGAGGACCCGAGGCACAGAGAGGCUCACUCACUUGUCCCGCAUCACACAGCUAGUUAGCAGAGGAACUGGUUCCAACUCUCUGUCUCUGCCCUUUGCCACAACAUCACCCCUUCUCUGCCCGAUGUCCAUUAGCCUCAGCACCGCCUCAUUGGAUGUGCCUGAUUCACCUCUUUGGUCAUUGCCUUCAUGAAAAGGACCAUUUGCUUACCCCCACACCCCGACCCCAGAAGAGACAGCCAAGGGCUGUGAAGACAUGUGUCUGUCCCCAGUGCCUUAGAAAGGGCACAGGAGAUCCAGAGGCCAGAGGACUCACUGUCAGCACUCCAGGGAACUGAAUGACACCUCAAGCUGGUCACUGGUCUUCUCUGAACUUCAGUCUCUUCAUCUGUCAAGUGGAGGAGGGCAUGCUUCAUGUGGCAAGAGUUCUUUUUAGCACUGAAGUUCCAGAGCGCCUCCCCCCUAUUUGCUCACUGUGUGAACGUCUGAGUGCUGUAAACUCCUAUGCCUCGAUUUCCACAGCAGUCCAGUUUUAGUAUGAAUUGUGCUUCCUCUGUGAAGCUUCAGUGGGAUGGUGCAUAGAGAUGUACUCCAUGCAGUCUGCAGGUCAGACUCACGAGGAUGGUCUUCCUGCCACAGUACACAGCCCCUGUGUUUGAGAGGUUCAUGUACGGAGGUUUAUAUCUUGUUCACACAGCAGUCCAGCGCCGACUUGACUUCCACAGCUGGGCAUCUCUUGUGGAAGUGCUGCUCCUUCCUGUCUUCCGCGUCUGCCUCCUCCUGGUCCUUGGAGGCCUCUCCACUCAGCAGGUAGAUGAAGAAGAAUGGGGAAGGUUGCAGAUUCAUGUCUUAUGGAUCCACCGCGGAGCAGUCAACACCAAUAUCUUCACACUCCAUCACCCCUAGCUGCACGGGAGGCCGGAGAUGUGGGUGUCUGUGUGCCCUGGAGUGAAGGGGAACAGUUUCCAGGACAGUUCAUCCAUCUCUAUCAUAGAAACCAUAGUCUACAAGAUCAAUGAGAGCCAUCUUGAUCCUUUUGUGGAAAGAGAGACCCCUUGAUUUACCAGGAUUGGGGAAGUCUCAAGAUAAUCACUGUGUCAAUAUGUGUGCGAGUAUGUGCGUGAGUGCAUGUUCCCCAGAAACCAAAGCCCGAGGCAAGGCUCACAAGCUCCUGCCUUCUUAGGAGGUGCAACCCCAGGAAGCGGAAGCGAGGGCAAGGAGAACUAAUAGGAAGGUCCAGUCUGAACUGACCAGCACCUGGUAUUAAGAGCCAGCCAUUGCUUGGUUUUAUGGGGCCAUCUUCCUAAAGUCCAUAUAAACAGUUGCUGCUCAGGACAGGUUAUUCAAGGAGGAGAAAGAAAGGACAUUUAUCCACUGGCUUCUGCUGCUCAUUGGCCAAUGAUUCAUCCAGGUUGCAAGAACUCUCUCAGUCAUGCAGGGAUAGGCUCUAGGCAAAUCCUACGGCAUCCCUGAGCCCCCGAGGCCAGGAAGAUCUUCAGAGCAGGGAAUGGAAGGUGCCUGGCGUGGACAUCAGGUGAGGCACCUGCCGAAUCCAGUUGGAACCCGUGGAAAGAUCUCUGGUGUCUCCUUUGCCAAGCUUACAGAAGACAGAAUUGGAAGGCACCAAAAUCCAGAUGCAGGUUGGCACCAGGCACCGGGUUAGCCCACAACAAGACCCUGCCCACAAUGAGACCCCACCCACAACGAGACCCUUUCUGAAGCUCAGCGGGGUUCUGCUCUGCACUGCAUCUGACCUCUGGAGAGUUCGAGUGUUGCUGC